UUUUUUUUCCAAUUAAAUGAUAUCAAGAGUCAGCUUUUGAACAUACUAUUACAUCUUUACACACAUUAUUAAUGCUUGCUUUCUAUUUUUGUGCACAAUUAUACCGUAGAUGAUUGAUGGCUGAUGGUUACCUUGUUAGUUAAGUUAGUUAUUCUGUGUAGUAAAAUUUUCUCGUAAUGUCAAAACUGUGAACAUUUUGGAUCAAGAACUUGAGAUGAACAAAACAAGAAUCAUUCAUAACAAAGGCAGUGAAAAGGUUUCGAGUUCAAGAACUAUAUCACCAAUUCUUAGUAUACCCACUGAAUUAAAUUUUGCAUCCCAUGUAAGUUGUACUGUAUAUGAUACUGCAUCUCCUCUUCAUCUCUCUCUUUCCCUCUCUCUGAUAAAUUGGCAGGCUGCAGAGAAACCACCCGUGAUUUGUGCUAAGAGAGAGAGAGAGAGAGA
This 444-nucleotide unclassified non-coding RNA is filed under the name Hevea brasiliensis (rubber tree). Lineage: Eukaryota; Viridiplantae; Streptophyta; Magnoliopsida; Malpighiales; Euphorbiaceae. The record is from RNAcentral.